UGCGUAGGCGGCGCGGUAAGUCGGGUGUGAAAUCUCGGAGCUUAACUCCGAAACUGCAUUCGAUACUGCCGUGCUUGAGGACUGGAGAGGAGACUGGAAUUUACGGUGUAGCGGUGAAAUGCGUAGAUAUCGUAAGGAAGACCAGUGGCGAAGGCGGUCCCCUGGGCCGGAACUGACGCUGAGGCGCGAAAGCGUGGGUAGCAAACG
This 207-nucleotide ribosomal RNA is filed under the name uncultured bacterium. Its description in RNAcentral is "partial 16S ribosomal RNA". It matches the Rfam family "Bacterial small subunit ribosomal RNA", at positions 568 to 774 of the family's 1533-position model. The record is from RNAcentral.